This 248-nucleotide ribosomal RNA is filed under the name uncultured bacterium. Its description in RNAcentral is "partial 16S ribosomal RNA". It matches the Rfam family "Bacterial small subunit ribosomal RNA", at positions 84 to 334 of the family's 1533-position model. The record is from RNAcentral.
CCUGGUGGCGAGUGGCGAACGGGUGAGUAACAUAUCGGGACGUACCCUAUCGUGGGGGGAUAACUAUCCGAAAGGAUAGCUAAUACCGCAUACGACCUGAGGGUGAAAGCGGGGGAUCGCAAGACCUCGCGCGAAAGGAGCGGCCGAUAUCGGAUUAGCUAGUUGGUGGGGUAAAGGCCCACCAAGGCGACGAUCCGUAGCGGGUCUGAGAGGACGACCCGCCACACUGGAACUGAGACACGGUCCAG